AGCGAACGCUGGCGGCAGGCCUAACACAUGCAAGUCGAACGAACUCUUCGGAGUUAGUGGCGGACGGGUGAGUAACACGUGGGAACGUGCCUUUUGGUUCGGAAUAACUCAGGGAAACUUGUGCUAAUACCGAAUGUGCCCUUCGGGGGAAAGAUUUAUCGCCAUUAGAGCGGCCCGCGUCUGAUUAGCUAGUUGGUGAGGUAACGGCUCACCAAGGCGACGAUCAGUAGCUGGACUGAGAGGAUGACCAGCCACACUGGGACUGAGACACGGCCCAGACUCCUACGGGAGGCAGCAGUGGGGAAUCUUGCGCAAUGGGCGAAAGCCUGACGCAGCCAUGCCGCGUGAAUGAUGAAGGUCUUAGGAUUGUAAAAUUCUUUCACCGGGGACGAUAAUGACGGUACCCGGAGAAGAAGCCCCGGCUAACUUCGUG
Molecule: ribosomal RNA, 433 nt
Filed under: uncultured bacterium
Lineage: Bacteria
Description: partial 16S ribosomal RNA
Rfam family: Bacterial small subunit ribosomal RNA
Source: RNAcentral